CACGUAGGGUGCGAGCGUUGUCCGGAAUUAUUGGGCGUAAAGAGCUCGUAGGCGGUGUGUCGCGUCGGCCGUGAAAACCUGCAGCUUAACUGUGGGCUUGCGGUCGAUACGGGCAUCACUGGAGUUCGGCAGGGGAGUCUGGAAUUCCUGGUGUAGCGGUGAAAUGCGCAGAUAUCAGGAGGAACACCGGUGGCGAAGGCGGGUCUCUGGGCCGAUACUGACGCUGAGGAGCGAAAGCGUGGGGAGCGAACAGG
RNAcentral lists this ribosomal RNA (254 nucleotides) under uncultured bacterium. RNAcentral's name for it is "partial 16S ribosomal RNA". It matches the Rfam family "Bacterial small subunit ribosomal RNA", at positions 524 to 776 of the family's 1533-position model. The record is from RNAcentral.